This 587-nucleotide unclassified non-coding RNA is filed under the name Hevea brasiliensis (rubber tree). The record is from RNAcentral. Lineage: Eukaryota; Viridiplantae; Streptophyta; Magnoliopsida; Malpighiales; Euphorbiaceae.
UCUUCUUUCUCAGAUGCGAGAAGGUAACAGCUGAUAAAUCUAUCUGUCCUUUCCCAUUUUACAAGGUGCAUCUAAGCACUUCCUUUUUUUGUGUACCAGCAUUCUCAGAAAUGAUAACAUCAUAACCAUAAGCUAAUUGUUAUAAUCUGUGUUUUGGGUACCGCAUCCACCAUGAAGCAAAAAAUCUAGUUGAUUUAUAGAAAAUAUAAAUGGAAAGUUAAUAGACUGAUUAUCCUAGAGAAAUUUUUAUAUUCAUUUACAAAUCUGUUGAAAUGGCCUAUGAUAAUUAAUGAUUUGCCUAAAUUUUUUCUACCAUUGAAAAUAUUUAAAAUUUAUCCUUGCUAAAUCUUGUCAUAAGGAGGCCUAGUAUGAUUCUAAGGUUUGCUCGAAUGAGGCAAUUGUCUAGUUGAUGAAAGUCCAUCAUUUUCUUCAAUAGAAGCAUACUGAUUAAUUUGAAUCUUGUGCAUAUUUUAGUGCACAUUUGUGCAUCCGCAUUAGCCUUAAGGUGAAACAUAUAAAUCCCAACACCUGCUAAGCUGGCUUGUAAAGCCUUAUAGCAGGUUUGUGUAAUGAAUACUAGUAAGGAG